RNAcentral lists this ribosomal RNA (253 nucleotides) under uncultured bacterium. RNAcentral's name for it is "partial 16S ribosomal RNA". It matches the Rfam family "Bacterial small subunit ribosomal RNA", at positions 524 to 776 of the family's 1533-position model. The record is from RNAcentral.
UACGUAGGGUGCGAGCGUUAAUCGGAAUUACUGGGCGUAAAGAGUGCGUAGGCGGUUCUCCAAGUCCGUUGUGAAAGCCCCGGGCUCAACCUGGGAAUGGCAGUGGAAACUAGAGAACUUGAAUCUGGCAGAGGGGGGUGGAAUGCCGCGUGUAGCAGUGAAAUGCGUAGAGAUGCGGCGGAACACCGAUGGCGAAGGCAGCCCCCUGGGCUGAGAUUGACGCUCAGGCACGAAAGCGUGGGGAGCAAACAGG